Molecule: ribosomal RNA, 206 nt
Filed under: uncultured bacterium
Lineage: Bacteria
Description: partial 16S ribosomal RNA
Rfam family: Bacterial small subunit ribosomal RNA
Source: RNAcentral
UCAGUAGGCGGCCAACUAAGUCCGACGUGAAAUCCCAAAGCUUAACUUUGGAACUGCGUCGGAUACUGGAUGGCUUGAAUUCGGGAGAGGGAUGCAGAAUUCCAGGUGUAGCGGUGAAAUGCGUAGAUAUCUGGAGGAAUACCGGUGGCGAAGGCGGCAUCCUGGACCGAGAUUGACGCUGAACGACGAAAGCUAGGGAGCAAACG